RNAcentral lists this long non-coding RNA (353 nucleotides) under Danio rerio (zebrafish). Its description in RNAcentral is "lncRNA (ENSDARG00000117534.1)". Lineage: Eukaryota; Metazoa; Chordata; Actinopteri; Cypriniformes; Danionidae. The record is from RNAcentral.
GUGUUCAGGGUGCGAUCAGGAUCAUGUGUGUCCAGCUCUGUGUCUCUGAAGAGUGACUGCUCAAAAGAAGAUCCACCAAAGUUCAGUGAGAAAACACCAUCAUCUGCUCAAAGUGUGAGAUCAGGAUUAUGUGUGUCCAGCUUUGUGUCUCUGAAGAGUGACUGCUCAAAAGAAGAUCCACCAAAAUUCAGCGAAAAAACACCAUCAUCUGCUCAAAGUGAUGAAUAUGAGUUACCAGAUUCAGGACACAAGACUCACAGGAACCACAAGAGUUUCACAGACAAUCUCCAGUCGAUCUUCCAGGUGGGAAAAACUCAUUUUGAAUCAUAAUUAAAAUUCCUAUUAUUACAGUC